UACGUAGGGGGCAAGCGUUGUCCGGAAUCAUUGGGCGUAAAGCGCGCGUAGGCGGCCUCAUAAGUCCGUUGUGAAAGUCAAAGGCUCAACCUUUGAAAGCCGAUGGAUACUGUGAGGCUAGAGUCCGGAAGAGGCGAGUGGAAUUCCUGGUGUAGCGGUGGAAUGCGUAGAGAUCGGGAAGAACAUCAGUGGCGAAGGCGGUCUGCUGGGCCGCUGCUGACGCUGAGGCGCGACAGCGUGGGGAGCAAACAGG
Molecule: ribosomal RNA, 253 nt
Filed under: uncultured bacterium
Lineage: Bacteria
Description: partial 16S ribosomal RNA
Rfam family: Bacterial small subunit ribosomal RNA
Source: RNAcentral